Molecule: long non-coding RNA, 431 nt
Organism: Armigeres subalbatus
Lineage: Eukaryota; Metazoa; Arthropoda; Insecta; Diptera; Culicidae
Exons: 3
Source: RefSeq, a predicted model, not a curated record
CGACGAGAUAAAAAAAAGUUUCUUUCGCGGUUAGGUGCGGUGAAGUUAAAAGUUAGCAGUGACGGUAUUGUGGUAAACGGUGUGAAGUGAAAGAAAUUGGAAGUCGCAUAAGCCGGUCGAAUAGUGACGCUGAUAUUCGGAACAACCAUUGUUGUGCGGCGAAAGAACGUAUAAUAAAACGAAUCGGUGGACGGUGGUCCAGCAAGCGUUGGGAUCGAUCAAGCGGCAGCAGAGCGGAGCCAAUUGGACGGAAACCGGAAAGAAGCUUUGAGAAGCGGAAACAAAUUGAACCAUCUCAGUAUCUCGGUGGUGGAAGAAUCCAGAUCGCCAUCGGGUCAACCCUCGUCUCGGCCCUCAAGGGCAGGUGAAGAUUCAGAAUAGUCAGAGUGGACGAAGGCGUCCUUGUACGCUCCACUUCUCUGACAGCGAAG